AGCGAACGCUGGCGGCAGGCCUAACACAUGCAAGUCGAGCGCCCGUAGCAAUACGGGAGCGGCAGACGGGUGAGUAACACGUGGGAACGUGCCCUUUGGUUCGGAAUAACUCAGGGAAAC
Molecule: ribosomal RNA, 120 nt
Filed under: uncultured bacterium
Lineage: Bacteria
Description: partial 16S ribosomal RNA
Rfam family: Bacterial small subunit ribosomal RNA
Source: RNAcentral